This 105-nucleotide ribosomal RNA is filed under the name Paraclostridium tenue. The record is from RNAcentral. Lineage: Bacteria; Bacillati; Bacillota; Clostridia; Peptostreptococcales; Peptostreptococcaceae.
UUAUUAUAGCAAAGAGGAUACACCUGUUCCCAUUCCGAACACAGAAGUUAAGCUCUUUAGCGCCGAUGGUACUUGGUGGGAAGCCGCCUGGGAGAGUAGGACGUA